AUUGAACGCUGGCGGUAUGCUUAACACAUGCAAGUCGAACGGUAACAGGUCAACAAUCCUUUCGGGGUGAGUUGAUGCUGACGAGUGGCGGACGGGUGAGUAAUAUAUAGGAAUCUACCUUAGAGUGGGGGAUAACCCGGGGAAACUUGGGCUAAUACCGCAUAUUCUCUACGGAGUAAAAGGGGCCUCUGCUUGCAAGCUCUUGCUCUAAGAUGAGCCUAUAUCGGAUUAGCUAGUAGGUUGGGUAAAGGCUGACCUAGGCAACGAUCCGUAGCUGGUCUGAGAGGAUGACCAGCCACACUGGGACUGAGACACGGCCCAGACUCCUACGGGAGGCAGCAGUGGGGAAUAUUGGACAAUGGGCGAAAGCCUGAUCCAGCAAUACCGCGUGUGUGAAGAAGGCUCUCGGGUCGUAAAGCACUUUUAGCAAAGAAGAAAUGCCCAAGGCUAAUACCCUUGGGAAAUGACGUUAUUUGCAGAAAAAGCACCGGCUAACUCUGUGCCAGCAGCCGCGGUAAGAC
RNAcentral lists this ribosomal RNA (521 nucleotides) under uncultured bacterium. RNAcentral describes it as "bacterial SSU rRNA". It matches the Rfam family "Bacterial small subunit ribosomal RNA", at positions 30 to 526 of the family's 1533-position model. The record is from RNAcentral.